UGGGGAAUAGUCAGUGGUAGAGUGUGUGCUUAGCAUGCACAAGGUCCUGGGUUCAAUCCCCAGUACCUCUG
Molecule: transfer RNA, 71 nt
Organism: Camelus ferus (Wild Bactrian camel)
Lineage: Eukaryota; Metazoa; Chordata; Mammalia; Artiodactyla; Camelidae
Rfam family: tRNA
About the family: Transfer RNA (tRNA) molecules are approximately 80 nucleotides in length. Their secondary structure includes four short double-helical elements and three loops (D, anti-codon, and T loops).
Source: Rfam